This 453-nucleotide ribosomal RNA is filed under the name uncultured Spirochaetaceae bacterium. RNAcentral describes it as "bacterial SSU rRNA". It matches the Rfam family "Bacterial small subunit ribosomal RNA", at positions 925 to 1382 of the family's 1533-position model. Lineage: Bacteria; Pseudomonadati; Spirochaetota; Spirochaetia; Spirochaetales; Spirochaetaceae. The record is from RNAcentral.
ACAAGCGGUGGAGCAUGUGGUUUAAUCGAAGCAACGCGAAGAACCUUACCAGGUCUUGACAUCCCGAUGCUAUUCUAGAGAUAGAAAGUUACUCGGUACAUCGGUGACAGGUGGUGCAUGGUUGUCGUCAGCUCGUGUCGUGAGAUGUCGGGUUAAGUCCCGCAACGAGCGCAACCCCUACUGCCAGUUACUAACAGGUAAUGCUGAGGACUCUGGCGGAACUGCCGGUGACAAACCGGAGGAAGUGGGAUGACGUCAAGUCCUCAUGGCCCUUAUGUCCAGGGCUACACACGUGCUACAAUGGCCGGUACAGAGUGACGCGAAGCCGCGAGGUGGAGCAAAUCGCAGAAAGCCGGCCUUAGUUCGGAUUGGAGUCUGAAACUCGACUCCAUGAAGGUGGAAUCGCUAGUAAUCGCGCAUCAGCAUGGCGCGGUGAAUACGUUCCCGGGCCUU